Non-coding RNA from Eublepharis macularius, 71 nucleotides. The record is from the annotation of a RefSeq genome assembly. Lineage: Eukaryota; Metazoa; Chordata; Lepidosauria; Squamata; Eublepharidae.
GGAGCUGUAGCUUAGUGGUAAAGCAUCUGCUUGACAUGCAAAGGUCCCAGGUUCAAUUCCUGGUAUCUCCA